GGUUAAGCGACUAAGCGUACACGGUGGAUGCCCUGGCAGUCAGAGGCGAUGAAGGACGUGCUAAUCUGCGAUAAGCGCCGGUAAGGUGAUAUGAACCGUUAUAACCGGCGAUUUCCGAAUGGGGAAACCCAGUGUGACUCGUCACACUAUCAUUAACUGAAUCCAUAGGUUAAUGAGGCGAACCGGGGGAACUGAAACAUCUAAGUACCCCGAGGAAAAGAAAUCAACCGAGAUUCCCCCAGUAGCGGCGAGCGAACGGGGAGGAGCCCAGAGCCUGAAUCAGCAUGUGUGUUAGUGGAAGCGUCUGGAAAGGCGCGCGAUACAGGGUGACAGCCCCGUACACAAAAGCGCAUGUGCUGUGAGCUCGAUGAGUAGGGCGGGACACGUGGUAUCCUGUCUGAAUAUGGGGAAAUUCAUCCUCCAAGGCUAAAUACUCCUGACUGACCGAUAGUGAACCAGUACCGUGAGGGAAAGGCGAAAAGAACCCCGGCGAGGGGAGUGAAAAAGAACCUGAAACCGUGUACGUACAAGCAGUGGGAGCACAGGUUUACCUGUGUGACUGCGUACCUUUUGUAUAAUGGGUCAGCGACUUAUAUUCUGUAGCAAGGUUAACCGAAUAGGGGAGCCGGAGGGAAACCGAGUCUUAACCGGGCGUUAAGUUGCAGGGUAUAGACCCGAAACCCGGUGAUCUAGCCAUGGGCAGGUUGAAGGUUGGGUAACACUAACUGGAGGACCGAACCGACUAAUGUUGAAAAAUUAGCGGAUGACCUGUGGCUGGGGGGUGAAAGGCCAAUCAAACCGGGAGAUAGCUGGUUCUCCCCGAAAGCUAUUUAGGUAGCGCCUCGUGAAUUCAUCUCCGGGGGUAGAGCACUGUUUCGGCUAGGGGGCCAUCCCGGCUUACCAACCCGAUGCAAACUGCGAAUACCGGAGAAUGUUAUCACGGGAGACACACGGCGGGUGCUAACGUCCGUCGUGAAGAGGGAAACAACCCAGACCGCCAGCUAAGGUCCCAAAGUCAUGGUUAAGUGGGAAACGAUGUGGGAAGGCCCAGACAGCCAGGAUGUUGGCUUAGAAGCAGCCAUCAUUUAAAAGAAAGCGUAAUAGCUCACUGGUCGAGUCGGCCUGCGCGGAAGAUGUAACGGGGCUAAACCAUGCACCGAAGCUGCGGCAGCGAACGUAUCACUUAAAGCGAUUCAGCGGGUUACGAUUGACGGAGCGAAGCGACGUCAAAGCGUAUACAAAGUCGAGUCGGUUUAAGGAUACGUUCGUUGGGUAGGGGAGCGUUCUGUAAGCCUGUGAAGGUGUGUCGUGAGGCAUGCUGGAGGUAUCAGAAGUGCGAAUGCUGACAUAAGUAACGAUAAAGCGGGUGAAAAGCCCGCUCGCCGGAAGACCAAGGGUUCCUGUCCAACGUUAAUCGGGGCAGGGUGAGUCGACCCCUAAGGCGAGGCCGAAAGGCGUAGUCGAUGGGAAACGGGUUAAUAUUCCCGUACUUGGUGUUACUGCGAAGGGGGGACGGAGAAGGCUAUGUUGGCCGGGCGACGGUUGUCCCGGUUUAAGCGUGUAGGUGUGUGUUCCAGGUAAAUCCGGUUCACUUUAACACUGAGGCGUGAUGACGAGGCACUACGGUGCUGAAGCAACAAAUGCCCUGCUUCCAGGAAAAGCCUCUAAGCAUCAGGUAACAUCAAAUCGUACCCCAAACCGACACAGGUGGUCAGGUAGAGAAUACCAAGGCGCUUGAGAGAACUCGGGUGAAGGAACUAGGCAAAAUGGUGCCGUAACUUCGGGAGAAGGCACGCUGACAUGUAGGUGAAGUGAUUUACUCAUGGAGCUGAAGUCAGUCGAAGAUACCAGCUGGCUGCAACUGUUUAUUAAAAACACAGCACUGUGCAAACACGAAAGUGGACGUAUACGGUGUGACGCCUGCCCGGUGCCGGAAGGUUAAUUGAUGGGGUCAGCGCAAGCGAAGCUCCUGAUCGAAGCCCCGGUAAACGGCGGCCGUAACUAUAACGGUCCUAAGGUAGCGAAAUUCCUUGUCGGGUAAGUUCCGACCUGCACGAAUGGCGUAAUGAUGGCCAGGCUGUCUCCACCCGAGACUCAGUGAAAUUGAACUCGCUGUGAAGAUGCAGUGUACCCGCGGCAAGACGGAAAGACCCCGUGAACCUUUACUAUAGCUUGACACUGAACAUUGAGCCUUGAUGUGUAGGAUAGGUGGGAGGCUUUGAAGCGUGGACGCCAGUCUGCGUGGAGCCGACCUUGAAAUACCACCCUUUAAUGUUUGAUGUUCUAACGUGGACCCGUAAUCCGGGUUGCGGACAGUGUCUGGUGGGUAGUUUGACUGGGGCGGUCUCCUCCUAAAGAGUAACGGAGGAGCACGAAGGUUGGCUAAUCCUGGUCGGACAUCAGGAGGUUAGUGCAAUGGCAUAAGCCAGCUUGACUGCGAGCGUGACGGCGCGAGCAGGUGCGAAAAGCAGGUCAUAGUGAUCCGGUGGUUCUGAAUGGAAGGGCCAUCGCUCAACGGAUAAAAGGUACUCCGGGGAUAACAGGCUGAUACCGCCCAAGAGUUCAUAUCGACGGCGGUGUUUGGCACCUCGAUGUCGGCUCAUCACAUCCUGGGGCUGAAGUAGGUCCCAAGGGUAUGGCUGUUCGCCAUUUAAAGUGGUACGCGAGCUGGGUUUAGAACGUCGUGAGACAGUUCGGUCCCUAUCUGCCGUGGGCGCUGGAGAACUGAGGGGGGCUGCUCCUAGUACGAGAGGACCGGAGUGGACGCAUCACUGGUGUUCGGGUUGUCAUGCCAAUGGCACUGCCCGGUAGCUAAAUGCGGAAGAGAUAAGUGCUGAAAGCAUCUAAGCACGAAACUUGCCCCGAGAUGAGUUCUCCCUGAGACUUAGAGUCUCCUGAAGGAACGUUGAAGACGACGACGUUGAUAGGCCGGGUGUGUAAGCGCAGCGAUGCGUUGAGCUAACCGGUACUAAUGAACCGUGAGGCUUAACCUU
RNAcentral lists this ribosomal RNA (2993 nucleotides) under Salmonella enterica subsp. enterica serovar Infantis. Its description in RNAcentral is "23S ribosomal RNA". It matches the Rfam family "Bacterial large subunit ribosomal RNA". The record is from RNAcentral. Lineage: Bacteria; Pseudomonadati; Pseudomonadota; Gammaproteobacteria; Enterobacterales; Enterobacteriaceae.